AUACGAGCGAUGAAAAGAAGAGUACGCAAGGAGUACUGCCACAGAGAGCUUCCGUUUGGUGCAAGGAAGCGCAGGAGACUUUGCCGAAGAUGGUCUUGGAGCUGAUUGGCUGAAGCGUAAGUUUAGGUCGUCCGGGUGCACCCGUUACAGUGCUGAAGUAUUAAUGGCUUAGUCCGGCGUACUUGAGGAGGCUGCUAUCGUGAGGUAGCAGUGAAAUUGGGUGGUACCACGAAGUUUGCUUUCGUCCCUUAC
This 252-nucleotide non-coding RNA is filed under the name Phascolarctobacterium sp. RNAcentral describes it as "T-box sequence". It matches the Rfam family "T-box leader". Rfam says of the family: Uncharged tRNA acts as the effector for transcription antitermination of genes in the T-box leader family. T-boxes are found upstream of many aminoacyl-tRNA synthetase genes and some amino acid biosynthetic genes usually in Gram-positive bacteria. Lineage: Bacteria; Bacillati; Bacillota; Negativicutes; Acidaminococcales; Acidaminococcaceae. The record is from RNAcentral.